GCGAUGGCGAGAAGGUCACACCUGUUCCCAUGCCGAACACAGAAGUUAAGCUUCUCAGCGCCGAUGGUAGUUGGGGCUUUGCCCCUGCGAGAGUAGGACGCCGCCAGGC
Molecule: ribosomal RNA, 109 nt
Filed under: Oceanobacillus limi
Lineage: Bacteria; Bacillati; Bacillota; Bacilli; Caryophanales; Bacillaceae
Source: RNAcentral